This is a long non-coding RNA of Daucus carota subsp. sativus, 585 nucleotides long. RefSeq lists it as uncharacterized. Lineage: Eukaryota; Viridiplantae; Streptophyta; Magnoliopsida; Apiales; Apiaceae. The record is from RefSeq and is a predicted model, not a curated record. The transcript is spliced from 4 exons.
AUGUGAUGCACCGGACCCAUCAGAACAAACUUUAUCAAUCAUGCAUCUGUAUGAAUAUGAUAGGUAUGUCGUCUAAUGGACUGGACCUGGGCGAUGAUGAAUCGGAUGAAAUCAAACAGGAUAUUCGUGGAUGUAUUCAAAUGAAUUGAAGGAUCUAGUGAUGUACCGAAACUUUUUGAACGUGUUAUUGAAGAGUUACAGAGUAGCCUUCUUUACUGGACAUGCUGAUUUCACCUGUGGAUAGGUUGAUUUUACUGUAAUACUUGCAGAGUCUUACACUAGCUAGUCACUACAUUUUGUUGCUGUUGUGGAAGGUUUCUUACUUGCUGCUACCUUCCGGACUAAUUUUGCUGCUGCUGCUGUAUGGAUUCUUGUCUCUGCUGAUUUCUUUAUCCAGGGAAAUCAUAGCAAGAAAAAUUCUGAUUCCAGCCUAUCUCUUUAUUUAUAAGGACCAGAUUCUCAUUCUAUUACCAAUUUCUCCUAAAUUCAGAGAAGAGGACAAUCUAUUCAACAAGUAACAUACAGUGCCAGUACUGAAAAAACCAACCAAGGACACUAGCUAUUUACUAUUGCGAAAUAUAAGAA